Molecule: ribosomal RNA, 485 nt
Filed under: uncultured bacterium
Lineage: Bacteria
Description: bacterial SSU rRNA
Rfam family: Bacterial small subunit ribosomal RNA
Source: RNAcentral
AUGAACGCUGGCGGCGUGCCUAACACAUGCAAGUCGAACGGAUCCAUACUGAAACCUAGUGAUGUAUGGAUUAGUGGCGGACGGGUGAGUAACGCGUGGAUAACCUGCCGUAUACACGGGGGAUAACACUUAGAAAUAGGUGCUAAUACCGCAUAAGCGCACGGUUCCGCAUGGAACAGUGUGAAAAACUCCGGUGGUAUACGAUGGAUCCGCGUCUGAUUAGCCAGUUGGCAGGGUAACGGCCUACCAAAGCAACGAUCAGUAGCCGGCCUGAGAGGGUGGACGGCCACAUUGGGACUGAGACACGGCCCAAGCUCCUGCGGGAGGCAGCAGUGGGGGAUAUUGCACAAUGGGGGAAACCCUGAUGCAGCGACGCCGCGUGAGUGAAGAAGCAUUUCGGUGUGUAAAGCUCUAUCAGCAGGGAAGAAAGAAAGUCCUUUGGACUUUGGACGGUACCUGACCAAGAAGCCCCGGCUAACUACGUG